RNAcentral lists this long non-coding RNA (217 nucleotides) under Elaeis guineensis (African oil palm). RNAcentral describes it as "long non-coding RNA (EGUI_LNC045410)". The record is from RNAcentral. Lineage: Eukaryota; Viridiplantae; Streptophyta; Magnoliopsida; Arecales; Arecaceae.
GCUUCUUGCAAAAAAGGCACUUUGCCUGACUUUAAUCAGCCUUGAACUUGGGUUUCUGGGACUGACUCCCAGCACCAGGCACCUUCUAAUUCUUCUUUUUUUUUUCUUUCUUAAAGGGACGAUGACUACUCGAAGAAGAUCCUCCCACUAAAUUCACCAUCUCCUUAUGGAGCUGAUGAUCCUUUUCAAAAGUUUGUAGCAACCCCAACAGAUCAUG